RNAcentral lists this ribosomal RNA (580 nucleotides) under uncultured bacterium. RNAcentral's name for it is "bacterial SSU rRNA". It matches the Rfam family "Bacterial small subunit ribosomal RNA", at positions 81 to 647 of the family's 1533-position model. The record is from RNAcentral.
ACUCUGGCGGGUUAGCGGCGGACGGGUGAGUAACACGUAGGCAACCUGGCUGUAAGAUCGGGAUAACCCACGGAAACGUGAGCUAAGACCGGAUAGUCUGUUUGGUCGCAUGGCCGGACAGUGGAAACACGGCGCAAGCUGUGGCUUACAGAUGGGCCUGCGGCGCAUUAGCUAGUAGGUAGGGUAACGGCCUACCUAGGCGACGAUGCGUAGCCGACCUGAGAGGGUGAGCGGCCACACUGGGACUGAGACACGGCCCAGACUCCUACGGGAGGCAGCAGUAGGGAAUCUUCCGCAAUGGACGAAAGUCUGACGGAGCAACGCCGCGUGAGUGAGGAAGGUUUUCGGAUCGUAAAACUCUGUUGCCAGGGACGAAUGCCUUGGAGAGUAACUGCUCUAAGGGUGACGGUACCUGAGAAGAAAGCCCCGGCUAACUACGUGCCAGCAGCCGCGGUAAUACGUAGGGGGCAAGCGUUGUCCGGAAUUAUUGGGCGUAAAGCGCGCGCAGGCGGUCAUGUAAGUCUGGUGUUUAAGCCCGGGGCUCAACCCCGGUACGCACUGGAAACUGGGUGACUGGAGU